This 429-nucleotide ribosomal RNA is filed under the name Gemmatimonadota bacterium. RNAcentral's name for it is "Gemmatimonadetes bacterium partial 16S ribosomal RNA". It matches the Rfam family "Bacterial small subunit ribosomal RNA", at positions 355 to 776 of the family's 1533-position model. Lineage: Bacteria; Pseudomonadati; Gemmatimonadota. The record is from RNAcentral.
UAGGGAAUCUUCGGCAAUGGACGAAAGUCUGACCGCGCAACGCCGCGUGAGUGAAGAAGGUUUUCGGAUCGUAAAAUUCUGUUGUUAGAGAUGAACAAGGACGUUAGUAACUGAACGUCCCCUGACGGUAUCUAACCAGAAAGCCACGGCUAACUACGUGCCAGCUGCCGCGGUAAUACGUAGGUGGCAAGCGUUGUCCGGAUUUAUUGGGCGUAAAGCGAGCGCAGGCGGUUUCUUAAGUCUGAUGUGAAAGCCCCCGGCUCAACCGGUGAGGGUCAUUGGAAACUGGGAGACUUGAGUGCAGAAGAGGAGAGUGGAAUUCCAUGUGUAGCGGUGAAAUGCGUGGAUAUAUGGAGGAACACCAGUGGCGAAGGCGGCUCUCUGGUCUGUAACUGACGCUGAGGCUCGAAAGCGUGGGGAGCAAACAGG